GUUGAGAACUGUUCUGCGCAUGUGUCCUGGGAUUACUAGAUUGCGCCUACUUUGUCAUCCAGUUUUAGCCAUACCCUACCUUCCUACCUCAGUAGGAUAUGAUUUGGUGAUUCUAUAUGCUAACCUGUAGAGGAGAGUCUGUAUUAGGAAAGACGUGGAGAAGAACCAUGCGUUCUCCCUCUGCUAUGCAUUAGAACUCUAGGAAGAAAGUGACAAAUUCAAAGAUGGAGAUAGAAUGAAGCUAAAGAACAAUCACUUGCCUGAGGCCAUUUGAGGAAAAAAACCAAGAAGUGCUGAUGAUAGAAUCUGGAUGUUGCACUUGCUAGUGCUCUCUUUAUAGCUGUGGACAGAUGUGAACAGUCCAUUGCCAUGGACUCCUUAGACUAUUUUGGCAUUUGACAGAGCAACAGUUUCACUGUCUGUGUGUGAUUUCAGAGGAAAACAAGACCUAAAAGAAAGAUUUCAUGAAAAAUACAUCAUCAUAACAUUGAUGUAUGGACCCUGUAACAUCCAAUUUCUUAAAGGCAUCUGUAGCUACUAAGGAUGCUGGUCAUGCCCUCAUCAACACACGGACAAUAUAAAUGAGAUGAUGCUUCAUGGAACAUAAUGCACACAGAUGCUUUUCUAAAAUAUACUCACAUCUUCGAAAAUAAAAUGAUUUGGC
Molecule: long non-coding RNA, 664 nt
Filed under: Heterocephalus glaber (naked mole-rat)
Lineage: Eukaryota; Metazoa; Chordata; Mammalia; Rodentia; Bathyergidae
Description: lncRNA (ENSHGLG00100050047.1)
Source: RNAcentral